UACGGGGGGGGCAAGCGUUGUUCGGAAUUACUGGGCGUAAAAGGCUCGUAGGCGGCCAACUAAGUCAGACGUGAAAUCCCUCGGCUUAACCGGGGAACUGCGUCUGAUACUGGAUGGCUUGAGUUUGGGAGAGGGAUGCGGAAUUCCAGGUGUAGCGGUGAAAUGCGUAGAUAUCUGGAGGAACACCGGUGGCGAAGGCGGCAUCCUGGACCAACACUGACGCUGAGUGAGCGAAAGCCAGGGGAGCAAACGGG
Molecule: ribosomal RNA, 254 nt
Filed under: uncultured bacterium
Lineage: Bacteria
Description: partial 16S ribosomal RNA
Rfam family: Bacterial small subunit ribosomal RNA
Source: RNAcentral